This 134-nucleotide small RNA is filed under the name Salmonella enterica subsp. enterica serovar Muenchen. RNAcentral's name for it is "RtT sRNA". It matches the Rfam family "RtT RNA". From Rfam's summary of the family: This family represents a bacterial cis-regulatory element known as RtT RNA. The exact function of RtT is unknown although it is thought that it may be involved in changing the cellular response in relation to amino acid starvation. Lineage: Bacteria; Pseudomonadati; Pseudomonadota; Gammaproteobacteria; Enterobacterales; Enterobacteriaceae. RNAcentral also lists the same sequence under 35 other names. The record is from RNAcentral.
UGUAUCGGAAGCCUGACGAGGAUGAGAACCUCCGGGGGCAAGAGGUUCGACUCGAGCGCAGCGAGAGAACGUUGCGUCAGCAACGGCCCGCAGGGCGAGCCACGCAGUGGCGAGUCAUCCUCUAUCACCGACCA